This 1475-nucleotide ribosomal RNA is filed under the name Microbacterium sp. Sukashi-2. RNAcentral's name for it is "bacterial SSU rRNA". It matches the Rfam family "Bacterial small subunit ribosomal RNA". The record is from RNAcentral. Lineage: Bacteria; Bacillati; Actinomycetota; Actinomycetes; Micrococcales; Microbacteriaceae.
CGCUGGCGNCGUGCUUAACACAUGCAAGUCGAACGAUGAAGCCAAGCUUGCUUGGUGGAUUAGUGGCGAACGGGUGAGUAACACGUGAGCAACCUGCCCUGGACUCUGGGAUAAGCGCUGGAAACGGUGUCUAAUACUGGAUAUGAGCUCUCAUCGCAUGGUGGGGGUUGGAAAGAUUUUUUGGUCUGGGAUGGGCUCGCGGCCUAUCAGCUUGUUGGUGAGGUAAUGGCUUACCAAGGCGUCGACGGGUAGCCGGCCUGAGAGGGUGACCGGCCACACUGGGACUGAGACACGGCCCAGACUCCUACGGGAGGCAGCAGUGGGGAAUAUUGCACAAUGGGCGGAAGCCUGAUGCAGCAACGCCGCGUGAGGGAUGACGGCCUUCGGGUUGUAAACCUCUUUUAGCAGGGAAGAAGCGUGAGUGACGGUACCUGCAGAAAAAGCGCCGGCUAACUACGUGCCAGCAGCCGCGGUAAUACGUAGGGCGCAAGCGUUAUCCGGAAUUAUUGGGCGUAAAGAGCUCGUAGGCGGUUUGUCGCGUCUGCUGUGAAAUCCCGAGGCUCAACCUCGGGUCUGCAGUGGGUACGGGCAGACUAGAGUGCGGUAGGGGAGAUUGGAAUUCCUGGUGUAGCGGUGGAAUGCGCAGAUAUCAGGAGGAACACCGAUGGCGAAGGCAGAUCUCUGGGCCGUAACUGACGCUGAGGAGCGAAAGGGUGGGGAGCAAACAGGCUUAGAUACCCUGGUAGUCCACCCCGUAAACGUUGGGAACUAGUUGUGGGGACCAUUCCACGGUUUCCGUGACGCAGCUAACGCAUUAAGUUCCCCGCCUGGGGAGUACGGCCGCAAGGCUAAAACUCAAAGGAAUUGACGGGGACCCGCACAAGCGGCGGAGCAUGCGGAUUAAUUCGAUGCAACGCGAAGAACCUUACCAAGGCUUGACAUACACCAGAACACCGUAGAAAUACGGGACUCUUUGGACACUGGUGAACAGGUGGUGCAUGGUUGUCGUCAGCUCGUGUCGUGAGAUGUUGGGUUAAGUCCCGCAACGAGCGCAACCCUCGUUCUAUGUUGCCAGCACGUUAUGGUGGGAACUCAUGGGAUACUGCCGGGGUCAACUCGGAGGAAGGUGGGGAUGACGUCAAAUCAUCAUGCCCCUUAUGUCUUGGGCUUCACGCAUGCUACAAUGGCCGGUACAAAGGGCUGCAAUACCGUGAGGUGGAGCGAAUCCCAAAAGCCGGUCCCAGUUCGGAUUGAGGUCUGCAACUCGACCUCAUGAAGUCGGAGUCGCUAGUAAUCGCAGAUCAGCAACGCUGCGGUGAAUACGUUCCCGGGUCUUGUACACACCGCCCGUCAAGUCAUGAAAGUCGGUAACACCUGAAGCCGGUGGCCCAACCCUUGUGGAGGGAGCCGUCGAAGGUGGGAUCGGUAAUUAGGACUAAGUCGUAACAAGGUAGCCGUACCGGAAGGUGCGGCUG